This 1794-nucleotide ribosomal RNA is filed under the name human gut metagenome. RNAcentral describes it as "bacterial LSU rRNA". It matches the Rfam family "Bacterial large subunit ribosomal RNA", at positions 1097 to 2925 of the family's 2925-position model. The record is from RNAcentral.
GAUGUUGGCUCAGAAGCAGCCAUACAUUCAAAGAGUGCGUAAUAGCUCACUAGUCGAGAGGUCCUGCGCCGAAAAUGAACCGGGGCUAAACACGACACCGAAGCUCAGGAAUCCGAAAGGAUUGGUAGAGGAGCAUUGCUGAAGCGACGAAGCAGUACCGGAAGGAGCUGUGGAGUUUCAGGAAGAGAGAAUGCCGGAAUGAGUAGCGAGAGAAAGGUGAGAAUCCUUUCGGCCGAAUAUCCAAGGUUUCCAGGGUAAAGCUGAUCUGCCCUGGGUAAGUCGGGGCCUAAGGCGAGGCAGAAAUGCGUAGUCGAUGGACAGCAGGUUGAGAUUCCUGCACCCGUAAUGAACAGAACUGUAGUGACACGGAAGGUAAGACAGAGCCGGGAAUGAGAAAACCGGUGCAAGCACAAUAGAUGUGUGGGAGGAAAAACCCCCGCAUAAGUCGAAGGUGUGACGCGGACCGAAAAAGAGUAGGGAAGCUGUUAAGCAAGCCGUCAAGAAAAGCUGCUAUUGUUUCAUUAUGGCCCGUACCGUAAACCGACACAGGUGGAUGGGGAGAGAAUCCUAAGGCCGGCGGAAGAAGUAUUGUUAAGGAACUCGGCAAAAUGACCCCGUAACUUCGGGAGAAGGGGUGCCUGCGAGAGCAGGCCGCAGAGAAGAGGCCCAAGCAACUGUUUAGCAAAAACACAGGUCUAUGCAAAACCGAAAGGUGAGGUAUAUGGGCUGACGCCUGCCCGGUGCUGGAAGGUUAAGGGGAGUGGUCAGGAAACGAAGCCACGAACUUAAGCCCCAGUAAACGGCGGCCGUAACUAUAACGGUCCUAAGGUAGCGAAAUUCCUUGUCGGGUAAGUUCCGACCCGCACGAAAGGCGUAAUGAUUUGGGCGCUGUCUCGACAAUACAUCCGGUGAAAUUGAAGUGCCAGUGAAGAUGCUGGCUACCUGCGCCAGGACGGAAAGACCCCAUGGAGCUUUACUCCAGCUUGAUACUGGGACCCGGUAUUGCAUGUACAGGAUAGGUGGGAGGCUAGGAAAUGUGGACGCCAGUCUGCAUGGAGCCGCCGUUGGGAUACCACCCUUGUGGUGCUGGGUUUCUAACCAGAGGCCGUGAACCGGUCUGGGGACAAUGUCAGGUGGGGAGUUUGACUGGGGCGGUCGCCUCCGAAAGGGUAUCGGAGGCGCCCAAAGGUUCCCUCAGAAUGGUUGGAAACCAUUCGAAGAGUGCAAAGGCAGAAGGGAGCUUGACUGCGACACCGACGGGUGGAGCAGGUACGAAAGUAGGGCUUAGUGAUCCGGUGGAAUUUAAGUGGGAAUGCCAUCGCUCAACGGAUAAAAGCUACCCUGGGGAUAACAGGCUGAUCACUCCCAAGAGUUCACAUCGACGGAGUGGUUUGGCACCUCGAUGUCGGCUCAUCGCAUCCUGGGGCUGUAGCAGGUCCCAAGGGUUGGGCUGUUCGCCCAUUAAAGCGGUACGCGAGCUGGGUUCAGAACGUCGUGAGACAGUUCGGUCCCUAUCCGGCGUGGGCGUAGGAUAUCUGAGAGGAGCUGUCCUUAGUACGAGAGGACCGGGAUGGACUGACCUCUGGUGUACCGGUUGGCGAUCAACGCCACGGCCGGGUAGCCAUGUCGGGACGGGAUAAACGCUGAAGGCAUCUAAGCGUGAAGCCCCCCUCAAGAUGAGAUAUCCCAUCGUAAGAGUAAGACCCCUUGAAGACGACGAGGUUGAUAGGGCAGGGGUGGAAGUGCCGUAAGGCAUGGAGCUGACUGCUACUAAUCGGUCGAGGGCUUGACCAA